CCUACGGGAGGCAGCAGUGAGGAAUAUUGGUCAAUGGACGAGAGUCUGAACCAGCCAAGUAGCGUGAAGGAUGACUGCCCUAUGGGUUGUAAACUUCUUUUAUAGGGGAAUAAAACGUGCCACGUGUGGGAUUUUGUAUGUACCAUAUGAAUAAGGAUCGGCUAACUCCGUGCCAGCAGCCGCGGUAAUACGGAGGAUCCGAGCGGUAUCCGGAUUUAUUGGGUUUAAAGGGAGCGUAGGGGGAUUGUUAAGGCAGUUGUGCAAGUUUGCGGCUCAACCGUAAAAUUGCAGUUGAAACUGGCAGUCUUGCGUACAGUAGAGGUGGGCGGAAUUCGUGGUGUAGCGG
RNAcentral lists this ribosomal RNA (346 nucleotides) under uncultured bacterium. RNAcentral's name for it is "partial 16S ribosomal RNA". It matches the Rfam family "Bacterial small subunit ribosomal RNA", at positions 338 to 681 of the family's 1533-position model. The record is from RNAcentral.